This 876-nucleotide ribosomal RNA is filed under the name uncultured bacterium. RNAcentral describes it as "bacterial SSU rRNA". It matches the Rfam family "Bacterial small subunit ribosomal RNA", at positions 56 to 918 of the family's 1533-position model. The record is from RNAcentral.
UGCAAGUCGAACGAAGUAGCUUGCUACUUAGUGGCGAAAGGGUUAGUAAUACAUGAGUAACGUACCUCUUACCUGGGGAUAACGGUUGGAAACGACCGCUAAUACCGAAUGAGGAGUGCUGGGGUAGCCCAGUUCCUUCAAAGUAGGGGACCCUUCGGGGCCUUACGGUGAGAGAGCGGCUCAUGGGAUAUCAGCUUGUUGGUGUGGUAAAGGCGCACCAAGGCUAAGACGUCUAGGCGGACUGAGAGGUUGACCGCCAACACUGGGACUGAGACACUGCCCAGACUCCUACGGGAGGCUGCAGUCGAGAAUCAUUCGCAAUGGGCGAAAGCCUGACGAUGCGACGCCGUGUGGACGAUGAAGGCCUUUGGGUUGUAAAGUCCUUUCGCAAGGGAACAAGAGAUAGUGACUAAUAAUCACUAAAUUUGAGGGUACCUUGUAAAGAAGCACCGGCUAACUCCGUGCCAGCAGCUGCGGUAAUACGGAGGGUGCAAGCAUUAAUCGGAUUUAUUGGGUGUAAAGAGCGCGUAGGCGGGUCAGCAAGUCAGAUGUGAAAUUCCGGAGCUCAACUUCGGAGCUGCAUUUGAAACUACUGGUCUUGAGGAUAGACGGAGAAAACGGAAUUCCACAUGUAGCGGUGAAAUGCGUAGAUAUGUGGAAGAACACCGGUGGCGAAGGCGGUUUUCUAGUUUAUUCCUGACGCUGAGGCGCGAGAGCAAGGGUAGCAAACAGGAUUAGAUACCCUGGUAGUCCUUGCCGUAAACGAUGCAUAGUUGGUGUAGCUGGACUCAACCCCAGCUGUGCCGUAGCUAACGUGUUAAGUAUGCCACCUGGGGAGUACGCCCGCAAGGGUGAAACUCAAAAGAAUUGACGGGG